GGCCUUGUAGCUCAGUCUGGUAGAGCGCCCGAGGUGAUCGGGAGGUCGGCGGUUCAAAUCCGUCCGGGGUCA
This 72-nucleotide transfer RNA is filed under the name Streptomyces niveiscabiei. RNAcentral describes it as "tRNA-His". It matches the Rfam family "tRNA". Rfam says of the family: Transfer RNA (tRNA) molecules are approximately 80 nucleotides in length. Their secondary structure includes four short double-helical elements and three loops (D, anti-codon, and T loops). Further hydrogen bonds mediate the characteristic L-shaped molecular structure. tRNAs have two regions of fundamental functional importance: the anti-codon, which is responsible for specific mRNA codon recognition, and the 3' end, to which the tRNAs corresponding amino acid is attached (by aminoacyl-tRNA synthetases). tRNAs cope with the degeneracy of the genetic code in two manners: having more than one tRNA (with a specific anti-codon) for a particular amino acid; and 'wobble' base-pairing, i.e. permitting non-standard base-pairing at the 3rd anti-codon position. The record is from RNAcentral. RNAcentral also lists the same sequence under 1 other name. Lineage: Bacteria; Bacillati; Actinomycetota; Actinomycetes; Kitasatosporales; Streptomycetaceae.